This 207-nucleotide unclassified non-coding RNA is filed under the name Hevea brasiliensis (rubber tree). Lineage: Eukaryota; Viridiplantae; Streptophyta; Magnoliopsida; Malpighiales; Euphorbiaceae. The record is from RNAcentral.
UAUCUUAAAGAGUUAGUUGUUGGUGGUCUGGAUCGUGUUUAUGAGAUAGGAAAGCAAUUUAGAAAUGAGGGCAUUGAUUUGACUCAUAAUCCUGAGUUCACAACCUGUGAGUUCUAUAUGGCUUUUGCGGACUACAAUGACUUGAUGGAACUAACUGAGAGAUUGUUGAGUGGAAUGGUCAAGGAAAUUACAGGUGGCUACAAAAUU